AACUUCCUACGGGGGGCAGCAGUGGGGGAUAUUGCACAAUGGGGGAAACCCUGAUGCAGCGACGCCGCGUGUGGGAAGACGGUUCUCUGGAUUGUAACCCACUGUCCCCAGGGACGAAGAUGACGGUACCUGGGGAGGAAGCUCCGGCUAACUACGUGCCAGCAGCCGCGGUAAUACGUAGGGAGCAAGCGUUGUCCGGAAUUACUGGGUGUAAAGGGAGCGUAGCCGGGAUGGCAAGCUGGGUGUUAAAUCUACCGGUUCAACUGGUAGUCGCACUCAAAACUGCUAUUCUUGAGUGUGGUAGA
This 305-nucleotide ribosomal RNA is filed under the name uncultured bacterium. Its description in RNAcentral is "bacterial SSU rRNA". It matches the Rfam family "Bacterial small subunit ribosomal RNA", at positions 333 to 655 of the family's 1533-position model. The record is from RNAcentral.